RNAcentral lists this ribosomal RNA (561 nucleotides) under uncultured bacterium. Its description in RNAcentral is "bacterial SSU rRNA". It matches the Rfam family "Bacterial small subunit ribosomal RNA", at positions 338 to 916 of the family's 1533-position model. The record is from RNAcentral.
CCUACGGGAGGCAGCAGUGGGGAAUAUUGGACAAUGGGCGAAAGCCUGAUCCAGCAAUGCCGCGUGAGUGAUGAAGGCCUUAGGGUCGUAAAGCUCUUUUACCAGGGAUGAUAAUGACAGUACCUGGAGAAUAAGCUCCGGCUAACUCCGUGCCAGCAGCCGCGGUAAUACGGAGGGAGCUAGCGUUGUUCGGAAUUACUGGGCGUAAAGCGUGCGUAGGCGGUUAUUCAAGUCAGAGGUGAAAGCCCGGGGCUCAACCCCGGAACGGCCUUUGAAACUAGAUAACUAGAAUCUUGGAGAGGUCAGUGGAAUUCCGAGUGUAGAGGUGAAAUUCGUAGAUAUUCGGAAGAACACCAGUGGCGAAGGCGACUGACUGGACAAGUAUUGACGCUGAGGUACGAAAGCGUGGGGAGCAAACAGGAUUAGAUACCCUGGUAGUCCACGCCGUAAACGAUGAUAACUAGCUGUCCGGACACUUGGUGUUUGGGUGGCGCAGCUAACGCAUUAAGUUAUCCGCCUGGGGAGUACGGUCGCAAGAUUAAAACUUAAAGGAAUUGACGG